GAUGAACGCUGGCGGCGUGCCUAAUACAUGCAAGUCGAGCGAACGGACGAGAAGCUUGCUUCUCUGAUGUUAGCGGCGGACGGGUGAGUCAUACGUGGAUAACCUACCUAUAAGACUGGGAUAACUUCGGGAAACCGGAGCUAAUACCGGAUAAUAUUUUGAACCGCAUGGUUCAAAAGUGAAAGACGGUCUUGCUGUCAUUUAUAGAUGGAUCAGCGCUGCAUUAGUUAGUUGGUAAGGUAACGGCUUACCAAGGCAACGGUGCUUAGCCGACCUGAGAGGGGCAACGGCCACACUGGAAGUGAGACACGGUCCAGACUCCGACGGUGGGAAGCAGCAGAGAAUCCUCCGCGAUGGGCGAAAGCCGGACGGAGCAACACCGGGGGAGUGAUGAAGGUCUUCGGAUCGGAAAACGCUGUUAGUAGGGAAGAACAUAUGUGUAAGUAACUGGGCACAUCAUGACGGUACCUAAUCAGAAAGCCACGGCUAACUACGUG
Molecule: ribosomal RNA, 497 nt
Filed under: uncultured bacterium
Lineage: Bacteria
Description: partial 16S ribosomal RNA
Rfam family: Bacterial small subunit ribosomal RNA
Source: RNAcentral